CGAGAGCGACGUACCCCGAGGCGGCGAACCAGGAAGGGAUGCCGUCUCUGACAAACGUCUCGUUCCGCAGCCUCUCCUCCACCAAGGCCUUGGACGUCUCUCCAUCUGCAAGUUGAAGAUCAGAUCAACUCCCAGGGAGGUAGAUUUUUCUUUAUUUUUUGGUUAUUUUCCUUUUUCAGUAUUCUGAUUGCUAGAUCGCAGAUUCGCCGGGAUUUCAUGAUAUGCAUCAUCGAUCACAGCAUACUUUUGUGUUCUGGAACUUGAGAGAAUUUUACCCUGGGAGGCGCCCACGAGGGGAAGGCCGGGCUCCUUGGUUUGAACGUUGAAGAUCUCCCUCACGGUGAUCGUUACUAUCUUUAUCAGAUUGUACAACCCAUCUCCAAGUAUGAGGGAUAUGGCAAUGAAGACCUGCAGAUGAUCAGAGAUUCAGUGCCUGCGUAAGAGAUUUAUGAACGGAGUUUUGUUGGGCGCUGCAAAUUCCCACAGGAUGAGCAGCAUGAAGCGGGC
RNAcentral lists this long non-coding RNA (507 nucleotides) under Spirodela polyrhiza (greater duckweed). RNAcentral's name for it is "long non-coding RNA (SPOL_LNC000714)". The record is from RNAcentral. Lineage: Eukaryota; Viridiplantae; Streptophyta; Magnoliopsida; Alismatales; Araceae.